AUUGAACGCUGGCGGCAUGCCUUACACAUGCAAGUCGAACGGCAGCGCGGGAGCAAUCCUGGCGGCGAGUGGUGAACGGGUGAGUAAUACAUCGGAACGUGCCCAAUCGUGGGGGAUAACGCAGCGAAAGCUGUGCUAAUACCGCAUACGAUCUACGGAUGAAAGCAGGGGAUCGCAAGACCUUGCGCGAAUGGAGCGGCCGAUGGCAGAUUAGGUAGUUGGUGAGGUAAAGGCUCACCAAGCCUUCGAUCUGUAGCUGGUCUGAGAGGACGACCAGCCACACUGGGACUGAGACACGGCCCAGACUCCUACGGGAGGCAGCAGUGGGGAAUUUUGGACAAUGGGCGAAAGCCUGAUCCAGCCAUGCCGCGUGCAGGAUGAAGGCCUUCGGGUUGUAAACUGCUUUUGUACGGAACGAAACGGUCUUUUCUAAUAAAGAAGGCUAAUGACGGUACCGUAAGAAUAAGCACCGGCUAACUACGUG
This 484-nucleotide ribosomal RNA is filed under the name uncultured bacterium. Its description in RNAcentral is "partial 16S ribosomal RNA". It matches the Rfam family "Bacterial small subunit ribosomal RNA", at positions 30 to 507 of the family's 1533-position model. The record is from RNAcentral.